Long non-coding RNA from Sapajus apella (tufted capuchin), 675 nucleotides. RefSeq lists it as uncharacterized. The transcript is spliced from 3 exons. The record is from RefSeq and is a predicted model, not a curated record. NCBI's taxonomy places the organism in Eukaryota, Metazoa, Chordata, Mammalia, Primates, Cebidae.
AGGAGUGAAGAUAUUUUGAAGCCAUUAUCAAAGUUUAAAACACUGACCUCCAUAAGGGGAAAGAAGUCAGUUAAAGAAUAGUGUUUAUGGUAUGAUCUAAUUUUUGUGUGAAACUGUACUGUGUACAUGUAUAUUUUUAUGUAUGUAGCUGAUUGAAUAGAGGUAAGGUAUGGGAAGAAUUUGGCUUUCCAUGUUCUUGUUUCCAUACAUAAUGCUUACUGAGCACUUACCUUGUAUCAGGCCCUGUGUUGGGUGGUAAGGGUAUAGUAUUGAGCACGAUAGACAAGAACCCUGCCUUUAAGGAACUCAGCAUUGUUGUUUGAAAGAUCAUACUUCUGGAUUUUCUGAAUUUGUUAUAGGAAAUAAUAUUUUUAUGAUUUACUAAAGAAAAGUUAAAAAUUAGAGUAGUAACAAGCUGGCCCAGAUUGACUAUAAACAAAUAUUAAAAAGAAAUUUAAAAAAAUUAAAAUUAAAAAUGUGUCUGGUCUCUUAUUUUUGUACUUUCUAGGGGAUUUUCUGAAUGAGGAAGAUAAGCUGUUUUAUAUUUAUGAUCCUGGUUUUCUUGUCUUCAGCUCUAUCUAUUGAUGCCUAGCUCUUUGGUAGUUGACUCAGAAUAUGAUAUUGUCUCUCUGCUUAGCUCAGCCUUACUGAGCAAUGUAGUAUUUUCCAUGUAAU